Molecule: ribosomal RNA, 253 nt
Filed under: uncultured bacterium
Lineage: Bacteria
Description: partial 16S ribosomal RNA
Rfam family: Bacterial small subunit ribosomal RNA
Source: RNAcentral
GACGGGGGGGGCAAGUGUUCUUCGGAAUCACUGGGCGUAAAGGGCGUGUAGGCGGUCAAGUAAGUGGAAUGUGAAAGCCCCCGGCUUACCCGGGGAUCUGCAUCCCAAACUGCUUGGCUUGAGUACGGGAGAGGAUAGGGGAAUUCCUGGUGUAGCGGUGAAAUGCGUAGAUAUCAGGAGGAACACCGGUGGCGAAGGCGCCUAUCUGGCCCGAUACUGACGCUGAGGCGCGAAAGCUAGGGGAGCAAACGGG